RNAcentral lists this ribosomal RNA (468 nucleotides) under uncultured bacterium. RNAcentral's name for it is "partial 16S ribosomal RNA". It matches the Rfam family "Bacterial small subunit ribosomal RNA", at positions 28 to 507 of the family's 1533-position model. The record is from RNAcentral.
GACGAACGCUGGCGGCGUGCUUAACACAUGCAAGUAGAACGGUAAGGCCCUGCUUUUGUGGUGUGCGCGAGUGGCGAACGGGUGAGUAACACGUGAGUAACCUGCCCUUGACUUUGGGAUAACUUCAGGAAACUGGGGCUAAUACCGGAUAGGAGCUCCUGCUGCAUGGUGGGGGUUGGAAAGUUUCGGCGGUUGGGGAUGGAAUUGCGGCUUAUCAGCUUGUUGGUGGGGUAGUGGAUUACCAAGGCAUGGACGGGUAGCCGGCCUGAGAGGGUGACCGGCCACAUUGGGACUGAGAUACGGCCCAGACUCCUACGGGAGGCAGCAGGGGGGAAUAUUGCACAAUGGGCGGAAGCCGGAUGCAGCAACGCCGCGUGCGGGAUGACGGCCUUCGGGUUGUAAACCGCUUUCGCCUGUGACGAAGCGUGAGUGACGGUAAUGUGUAAAGAAGCACCGGCUAACUACGUG